This 382-nucleotide ribosomal RNA is filed under the name uncultured bacterium. RNAcentral describes it as "bacterial SSU rRNA". It matches the Rfam family "Bacterial small subunit ribosomal RNA", at positions 9 to 409 of the family's 1533-position model. The record is from RNAcentral.
GAGUUUGAUCGUGGCUCAGGAUGAAUGCUGGCGGCGCGCCUAACACAUGCAAGUCGAGCGGAAAGGCCCUUCGGGGUACUCGAGCGGCGGACGGCUGAGUAACGCGUGGGAACAUGCCCCAAAGUGAGGAAUAAGCUCCAGAAAUGGAGUCUAAUGCCGCAUAUGAUCUUCGGAUUAAAGGAUUUAUCCGCUUUGGGAGUGGCCCGCGUACGAUUAGGUAGUUGGUGAGGUAAAGGCUCACCAAGCCCACGAUCGUUAACUGGUCUGAGAGGAUGAUCAGUCAGACUGGAACUGAGACACGGUCCAGACUCCUACGGGAGGCAGCAGUGAGGAAUCUUCCACAAUGGGCGAAAGCCUGAUGGAGCGACGCCGCGUGCAGGAU